GAAAGGCCAGUUGCUGUGCUAUUGGUAGUAUCUGUUUCUUAUCCCGAGUAGCAUGGGACACGUGAAACCCCGUGUGAAUCAGCGAGGACCACCUCGUAAGGCUAAAUACUCCUGGGUGACCGAUAGUGAAGAAGUACCGUGAGGGAAAGGUGAAAGAGAACCCCUGAAGGGGAGUGAAAUAGCGCAUGAAACCGUAAUCUGACAAGCAGUGGGAGGGGUAUUAGCCCUGACCGCGUGCCUGUGGAAGAAUGAGCCGGCGACUUAUAGGGGGUGGCAGGGUUAAGGAGUUUCUUCGAAGCCAAAGCGAAAGCAAGUCUUAACAGGGCGAUAAUAGGUCACUCCUUAUGGACCCGAACCCGGGUGAUCUAACCAUGGCCAGGAUGAAGCUUGGGUAACACCAAGUGGAAGUCCGAACUCAUCGAUGUUGAAAAAUCGUGGGAUGAGCUGUGGUUAGGGGUGAAAUGCCAAUCGAACUCGGAGCUAGCUGGUUCUCCCCGAAAUGCGUUGAGGCGCAGCGGUUGACGAGGCCAUGAGCUGUCUAGGGGUAAAGCACUGUAUCGGUGCGGGCUGCGAGAGCGGUACCAAAUCGUAGCAAACUAAGAAUACUAGGCAUGUCUUUCCGUCAACCAGUGAGACAGUGGGGGAUAAGCUCCAUUGUCAAGAGGGAAACAGCCCAGAUCACCAGCUAAGGCCCCUGAAUGAUCGCUAAGUGGAAAAGGAGGUGAGAAUGCCGAAACAGCCAGAAGGUUUGCUUAGAAGCAGCCAUCCUUUAAAGAGUGCGUAAUAGCUCACUGGUGGAGCGUUCUUGCGCCGAAAAUUUACGGGACUAAGCGAUCUGCCGAAGCUGUGGGAUAUCGGCACAAAGAGCUGGUAUCGGUAGGGGAGCGUUCCGCCUUAGGGUGAAGCAUUGGUGUAAACCGGUGUGGACGAAGCGGAAGUGAGAAUGUCGGCUUGAGUAACGCAAACAUUGGUGAGAAUCCAAUGCCCCGAAAACCUAAGGGUUCCUUCACUAGGUUCGUCCAUGGAGGGUUAGUCGGGUCCUAAGGCUAGGCCGAAAGGCGUCGUCGAUGGGAAACAGGUUAACAUUCCUGUACUUCUUCUUGGUUGGCACCGAGGGACGAAGGAGGCACGAGGUGACCAAAAUUGGAUUUUGGUGGAAAUGGCUGAGGCGAGGAGAGAUAGAAGAGAAACUAUUCUUGAGCUGAACCAUGAUACGGCCCCAUUAUUAGCUGCAACUUUUCUCUGUCAAACUUCCUAGAAAAGCUCGAACUGCUGCAACACCAAGAAGGACCCGUACCCGAAACCGACACAGGUAGGUGGGUAGAGAAUACCUAGGGGCGCGAGACAACUCUCUCUAAGGAACUCGGCAAAAUGGCCCCGUAACUUCGGGAGAAGGGGUGCCCCCGCAAGGGGGCCGCAGUGACCAGGCCCAGGCGACUGUUUACCAAAAACACAGGUCUCCGCUACGUCGCAAGACAAGAUAUGGGGGCUGACGCCUGCCCGGUGCCGGAAGGUGAAGGAAGUUGGUUAUUCUUCGGAAGAAGCUGGCGACCGAAGCCCCGGUGAACGGCGGCCGUAACUAUGACGGUCCUAAGGUAGCGAAAUUCCUUGUCAGGUAAGUUCCGACCCGCACGAAAGGCGUAACGAUCUGGGCACUGUCUCAGAGAGAGACUCGGUGAAAUAGACAUGUCCGUGAAGAUGCGGACUUCCUACACCUGGACAGAAAGACCCUAUGAAGCUUUACUGUAACCUGGAAUUGGGUUUGGGCCCCUUUUGCGCAGCCUAGGUGGGAGGCUAUGAGAGCUCUCUUCCGGGAGAGCUGGAGCCAUCAGUGAGAGACCACUCUGGAGGGGCUAGAAUUCUAAUGGUGCUCCUUGAAACAGGACACUUGACAGUUUCAGGUGGGCAGUUUGACUGGGGCGGUCACCUCCUAAAAGGUAACGGAGGUGUGCAAAGGUUCCCUCAGGCUGGACGGAAAUCAGCCGUAGAGUGUAAAGGCAUAAGGGAGCUUGACUGCAAGACCUACAAGUCGAGCAGGGGCGAAAGCCGGCCUUAGUGAUCCGACGGUGCCGAGUGGAAGGGCCGUCGCUCAACGGAUAAAAGUUACUCUAGGGAUAACAGGCUAAUGACUCCCAAGAGCUCAUAUCGACGGAGUCGUUUGGCACCUCGAUGUCGACUCAUCGCAUCCUGGGGCUGAAGAAGGUCCCAAGGGUUCGGCUGUUCGCCGAUGAAAGCGGUACGUGAGUUGGGUUUAGUGCGCCGUGAGACAGUUCGGUCCAUAUCCGGUGUAGGCGCUAGAGCAUUGCGAGAAGCCUUCCAUAGUACGAGAGGACCUGGAAGGACACACCUCUGGUAUACCAGUUCUCCUGCCAAGGGGACACGCUGGGUAGCUAUGUGUGGAGCGGAUAACUGCUGAAAGCAUCUAAGUAGGAAGCCCAUCUCAAGAUGAGUGCUCUC
Molecule: ribosomal RNA, 2457 nt
Filed under: Coccomyxa sp. SUA001
Lineage: Eukaryota; Viridiplantae; Chlorophyta; Trebouxiophyceae; Coccomyxaceae
Description: bacterial LSU rRNA
Rfam family: Bacterial large subunit ribosomal RNA
Source: RNAcentral